This 531-nucleotide ribosomal RNA is filed under the name uncultured bacterium. RNAcentral's name for it is "bacterial SSU rRNA". It matches the Rfam family "Bacterial small subunit ribosomal RNA", at positions 977 to 1509 of the family's 1533-position model. The record is from RNAcentral.
GGCCUUGACAUACUAAGAACUUUCCAGAGAUGGAUUGGUGCCUUCGGGAACUUAGAUACAGGUGCUGCAUGGCUGUCGUCAGCUCGUGUCGUGAGAUGUUGGGUUAAGUCCGCAACGAGCGCAACCCUUUUCCUUAUUUGCAGCGGGUAAUGCCGGGAACUUUAAGGAUACUGCCAGUGACAAACUGGAGGAAGGCGGGGACGACGUCAAGUCAUCAUGGCCCUUACGGCCAGGGCUACACACGUGCUACAAUGGUCGGUACAAAGGGUUGCUACCUCGCGAGAGGAUGCUAAUCUCAAAAAGCCGAUCGUAGUCCGGAUCGCAGUCUGCAACUCGACUGCGUGAAGUCGGAAUCGCUAGUAAUCGCGGAUCAGAAUGCCGCGGUGAAUACGUUCCCGGGCCUUGUACACACCGCCCGUCACACCAUGGGAGUUUGUUGCACCAGAAGUAGGUAGUCUAACCGCAAGGAGGACGCUUACCACGGUGUGGCCGAUGACUGGGGUGAAGUCGUAACAAGGUAAGCGUAGAUGA